Small nucleolar RNA from Neogale vison (American mink), 81 nucleotides. RefSeq annotates it as small nucleolar RNA SNORD115. The transcript has a single exon. The record is from RefSeq and is a predicted model, not a curated record. NCBI's taxonomy places the organism in Eukaryota, Metazoa, Chordata, Mammalia, Carnivora, Mustelidae.
GGGUCAAUGAUUAGAACUCAUAUGGUCUGAAAAUGCGAUGAUGACCUAAAAAUCAUGCUCAAUAGGUGUACACUGAGGUGC